CCCAUCCAGCGAGAGAAACCUAGCUCCCAGAGCCGGUGCAGUCAGUCCCCUCGCCCCUCCCGCCCCUGCACGGGUCCCCCUCUAGCCGUCGCUGCAACCACCACCUCGGUUCCACUCAACCGAUUUUUGCUGCAUGUCAACACUUAUUACCGAUCACUCAUUCUGGGAGAAGACAACCGUCAUAUCAUGUCAUGAAGAUACUCAUGCAGUCCUAUGGAGAAUUUCAUUGGUAAGAAACUGAGCUAGAAUGAACUUGACAGCCUUGUGAGAGAGCCAUCUUAGAAGCAGACCUUCAGCCUCAGACAGCUUUCAGAGGAUUGUAGCCCCAGCUGAAACAUCAACCACAAUCUCAUGAGAGACACUGAACCAGAAUCACCCAGCCAAGCUGUUCCCAAAUUCCUGAGCCAUAGAAACUGUGUGAGAUAAUAAAUGUUUAUUGUUGUUCUCAAAAAAAAAAAAAAAAAA
Molecule: long non-coding RNA, 465 nt
Filed under: Homo sapiens (human)
Lineage: Eukaryota; Metazoa; Chordata; Mammalia; Primates; Hominidae
Description: PITX2 adjacent non-coding RNA (PANCR)
Source: RNAcentral